GACGAACCGUCCAAACGUUAUUCGGAAUUAUUGGGCUUAAAGGGUGCGUAGGCUGUGCAGUAAGUUGGGUGUGAAAUCCCUCGGCUCAACCGAGGAACUGCGCCGAAUACUGCUGUGCUAGAGGGAGAUAGGGGUAAGCGGAACUGAUGGUGGAGCGGUGAAAUGCGUUGAUAUCAUCAGGAACACCGGCGGCGAAGGCGGCUUACUGGAUCUCUUCUGACGCUGAUGCACGAAAGCUAGGGGAGCGAACGGG
Molecule: ribosomal RNA, 253 nt
Filed under: uncultured bacterium
Lineage: Bacteria
Description: partial 16S ribosomal RNA
Rfam family: Bacterial small subunit ribosomal RNA
Source: RNAcentral